AUGAAGCAAUACCGAUUCCUGAUGCACCUGCUACAACAAGCUUGACACCAGACCAAGCAGGUGGAUUGGAUGAUUGGGGUGCUGCUCCUGCUCCCGCACCCGCUCCCCUACCUCAACCUGUAGUCGAUGGUGGUGGUAGUUGGUCGUGAGGCCUGCUACAGAUUUUACUUUGACCAUGUAUUGCAUAUUUGGCAUAAUCUUCAGUGAGUCUUAGAAAGAAUAUCAUCAUUUGUUGGGAACUGAACUUGUUUUUUGUUUUGUUUUUCCAUCCUUUCUGGGAAUAGCUUAGAUCAAGACAAUAGUUUAAAUACUUUGAUGGUGUUGAUAUCUCGAAUGAUUGCUACAUUUGUUAUUUUUUUGAUUGGCACUUGAGCAACUUCCAAA
Populus euphratica (Euphrates poplar) is the source of this 384-nucleotide long non-coding RNA. RefSeq lists it as uncharacterized. Lineage: Eukaryota; Viridiplantae; Streptophyta; Magnoliopsida; Malpighiales; Salicaceae. The transcript has 2 exons. The record is from RefSeq and is a predicted model, not a curated record.